RNAcentral lists this small RNA (321 nucleotides) under Arabidopsis thaliana (thale cress). Its description in RNAcentral is "ATSL169460". The record is from RNAcentral. Lineage: Eukaryota; Viridiplantae; Streptophyta; Magnoliopsida; Brassicales; Brassicaceae.
UAUUACUAAAUUUAUUUUAAUAUUACAUGAUUUUUCAAUAAAACCAUUUUAGUAGUUUUUCAUUUUUCUGUAAUCCAAACUCAAAGUAUGAGUAUAUAAUAAUCGUGGAUUAAUUAAUAAUUUGAGUAGGUUAUUCUCUUAAAUUGAUAUUUAUAUAAUAAAUCACCGAAGAUGCAGAAUACGUACGGAGCUCCAUCAUCAAAUUCUAAGGUUUCUAGAAUCGAACACUACUCUCUGUUAAAUUGGUUUAAGAUGAACGUUGUUUAUGAAUUAUGUGUAUGAUGAAAUAUUGAGAAUGUUGUUAGAAAAAAUAUAUUUUAA